Xiphophorus maculatus (southern platyfish) is the source of this 253-nucleotide long non-coding RNA. RefSeq lists it as uncharacterized. NCBI's taxonomy places the organism in Eukaryota, Metazoa, Chordata, Actinopteri, Cyprinodontiformes, Poeciliidae. The transcript is spliced from 3 exons. The record is from RefSeq and is a predicted model, not a curated record.
CCUCUUUCUCUCCCAGUUUUAGUCUGUUUUUGCAGGUUGUUCCACACAAACAAUCCUUGGAAGCUGCUAAGAAGAGAGAGGAAACGAGACCUGGAGGUUUGGCGCAUGAGAGUUAGCAAAUUGCAGGACAACCCUUGCCUAGCUCAUAGACUUGGUCCCACACCCAAUCUGAGGAGAAGAUGGAGUUCCUGUUUCUUUAGAUAGUCUGUGAAGUGUCACACCAGAUUGGAUGCCUAAGAAGAAGUUGGGAAAA